UCUGUGGUAGGGAAGAACAAGUAUCGUUCGAAUAGGGCGGUACCUUGACGGUACCUAACCAGAAAGCCACGGCUAACUACGUGCCAGCAGCCGCGGUAAUACGUAGGUGGCAAGCGUUGUCCGGAAUUAUUGGGCGUAAAGCGCGCGCAGGCGGUUUCUUAAGUCUGAUGUGAAAGCCCACGGCUCAACCGUGGAGGGUCAUUGGAAACUGGGAGACUUGAGUGCAGAAGAGAAGAGCGGAAUUCCACGUGUAGCGGUGAAAUGCGUAGAGAUGUGGAGGAACACCAGUGGCGAAGGCGGCUCUUUGGUCUGUAACUGACGCUGAGGCGCGAAAGCGUGGGGAGCGAACAGGAUUAGAUACCCUGGUAGUCCACGCCGUAAACGAUGAGUGCUAAGUGUUAGAGGGUUUCCGCCCUUUAGUGCUGCAGCUAACGCAUUAAGCACUCCGCCUGGGGAGUACGGCCGCAAGGCUGAAACUCAAAGGAAUUGACGGGGGCCCGCACAAGCGGUGGAGCAUGUGGUUUAAUUCGAAGCAACGCGAAGAACCUUACCAGGUCUUGACAUCCUCUUGACCUCCCUAGAGAUAGGGAUUUCCCUUCGGGGACAAGAGUGACAGGUGGUGCAUGGUUGUCGUCAGCUCGUGUCGUGAGAUGUUGGGUUAAGUCCCGCAACGAGCGCAACCCUUGACCUUAGUUGCCAGCAUUCAGUUGGGCACUCUAAGGUGACUGCCGGUGACAAACCGGAGGAAGGUGGGGAUGACGUCAAAUCAUCAUGCCCCUUAUGACCUGGGCUACACACGUGCUACAAUGGAUGGUACAAAGGGUUGCUAGACCGCGAGGUUACGCCAAUCCCAUAAAACCAUUCUCAGUUCGGAUUGUAGGCUGCAACUCGCCUACAUGAAGCCGGAAUCGCUAGUAAUCGCGGAUCAGCAUGCCGCGGUGAAUACGUUCCCGGGCCUUGUACACACCGCCCGUCACACCACGAGAGUUUGUAACACCCGAAGUCGGUGAGGUAACCUUUUGGAGCCAGCCGCCGAAGGUGACAGAAUGUUU
Molecule: ribosomal RNA, 1052 nt
Filed under: Heyndrickxia sporothermodurans
Lineage: Bacteria; Bacillati; Bacillota; Bacilli; Caryophanales; Bacillaceae
Description: bacterial SSU rRNA
Rfam family: Bacterial small subunit ribosomal RNA
Source: RNAcentral